AGAGUUUGAUCCUGGCUCAGGAUGAACGCUGGCGGCGUGCCUAACACAUGCAAGUCGAACGAACAUUAAAGAAGAAGCUUCGGUGGAUUUUUUAAUUGUUAGUGGCAAACGGGUGAGUAACACAUAGGUAACCUGCCCUUAAGACUGGGAUAACCUUUCGAAAGGAAGGCUAAUACUAGAUAAGCUUUUUUUAACAUAAGUUAAAGAAAGGAAAUGAUUUAUCGCUUAAGGAGGGGCUUAUGUCUGAUUAGUUUGUUGGUAGGGUAACGGCCUACCAAGACGAUGAUCAGUAGCUGGUCUGAGAGGAUGGUCAGCCACACUGGGACUGAGAUACGGCCCAGACUCCUACGGGAGGCAGCAGUGGGGAAUAUUGCGCAAUGGGGGAAACCCUGACGCAGCGACGCCGUGUGAGUGAAGAAGUCUUUAGGGAUGUAAAUCUCUGUCACGAGGAACGAUAAUGACGGUACCUCGAGAGGAAGCCCUGGCUAAUUACGUGCCAGCAGCCGCGGUAAUACGUAAGGGGCGAGCGUUAUCCGGAUUUAUUGGGCAUAAAGAGCGUGUAGGUGGUGAUUUAAGUCAAAUGUUGAAGCCCUCAGCUCAACUGAGGUACGCAUUUGAAACUGAAUUGCUAGAGAUUAGUAGAGGGAAGCGGAACUCAUGGUGUAGCGGUGAAAUGCGUAGAUAUCAUGAGGAACACCAGUUGCGAAGGCGGCUUCCUGGACUGAAUCUGACACUGAGACGCGAAAGCGUGGGGAGCGAACGGGAUUAGAUACCCCGGUAGUCCACGCCGUAAAUGUUGUUCACUAGGUGUUGGAAGUAUCGACCCUUUCAGUGCCACAGAUAAUUCGUUAAGUGAACCGCCUGGGGAGUACGACCGCAAGGUUAAAACUCAAAGGAAUUGACGGGGGCCCGCACAAGCAGUGGAGCAUGUGGUUUAAUUCGACGAUACGCGAAGGACCUUACCAGGGUUUGACAUCUGUAGAAUUCGGUGGAAACAUUGAAGUGCCCGCAAGGGAGCUACAAGACAGGUGGUGCAUGGCUGUCGUCAGCUCGUGUCGUGAGAUGUUGGGUUAAGUCCCGCAACGAGCGCAACCCCUGUUCUGUGUUGCCAGCACUAAUGGUGGGAACUCACAGAAGACUGCCUGUGGAAAGCAGGAGGAAGGUGGGGAUGACGUCAAGUCAUCAUGCCCCUUACACCCUGGGCUACACACAUGCUACAAUGGCCGGUACAAAAGGUCGCGAAACCGCGAGGUGAAGCUAAUCUCAAAAAGCCGGUCUCAGUUCGGAUUGUAGUCUGCAACUCGACUACAUGAAGUUGGAAUUGCUAGUAAACGCAGAUCAGCUACGCUGCGUUGAAUACGUUCCCGGGCCUUGUACACACCGCCCGUCACACCAUGAAAGUCAGGAACACCCGAAGCCAAUGUGCUAACCCUUUUUGGGAAGUAGUUGUCGAAGGUGGGUUUGGCGAUUGGGGUGAAGUCGUAACAAGGUA
RNAcentral lists this ribosomal RNA (1492 nucleotides) under metagenome. Its description in RNAcentral is "bacterial SSU rRNA". It matches the Rfam family "Bacterial small subunit ribosomal RNA". The record is from RNAcentral.